RNAcentral lists this ribosomal RNA (253 nucleotides) under uncultured bacterium. Its description in RNAcentral is "partial 16S ribosomal RNA". It matches the Rfam family "Bacterial small subunit ribosomal RNA", at positions 524 to 776 of the family's 1533-position model. The record is from RNAcentral.
GACGUAGGGGGCCAGCGUUGCUCGGAAUUACUGGGUGUAAAGGGUUCGUAGGCGGUGCGGCAAGUUGGGAGUGAAAUCUCUGGGCUUAACCCAGAGGCUGCUUCCAAAACUGCUGUGCUCGAGUGUGGGAGAGGCGCGUGGAAUUGCAGGUGUAGCGGUGAAAUGCGUAGAUAUCUGCAGGAACACCCGUGGCGAAGGCGGCUCUCUGGGACGGUACUGACGCUGAGACGCGAAAGCGUGGGGAGCGAACAGG